Molecule: small RNA, 3919 nt
Filed under: Pan troglodytes (chimpanzee)
Lineage: Eukaryota; Metazoa; Chordata; Mammalia; Primates; Hominidae
Description: retained intron
Source: RNAcentral
GGCAAGGGGACGAGGUGGCGAGGGGACGGUGGGCCCUGGGCUGGGCCGAGCCAGGCGGGGCUGGCUGGGCUUGCGGGCAGAGAGCUCUGAGCGUGGGGAGGCUAGAGCCCGUACUCCGCAAGCAGAGGGUUGGGAGGAUCAGCCGUGGCCGAGGGACCUGCCCCCGCCCCCGGACGAGAGGGGUCGGGGUGGAGGCCGGAGGGGGCAAAACCAGGGAGGCCGGAAGCAGAGGUGGGGGUCUGCAGAAGGACAGCCCUGUAUUGAGCUGAGAUGGCUCGAGCCUAACAUUCCACGAUCCAGGAUUGUGACAGAUGUGCACAGGCUGCUGCUGUUGCUGCUGUGGGUAAUUUGGAACCACGAGGCACCCCAGGGCCAGAAGACUGUCUGCCUGGAUGUGUGGGAACUCUCUGCCAACUUGAUUGGUGGAUCUGGGGGGGGAUCCACCCCCACCCCACGAGGAAAGCACAGUUUAUUUUGUGGGUGGGGCUUCAGGUGCCAGCCAGCUGAAGGAUGGCCACCCCUGUGGUCACCAAGACAGCCUGGAAGUUGCAAGAGAUCGUCGCGCAUGCCAGCAAUGUGUCCUCACUGGUGCUGGGCAAAGCCUCCGGGCGGCUGCUGGCUACAGGCGGGGAUGACUGCCGCGUCAACCUGUGGUCCAUCAACAAGCCCAACUGCAUCAUGAGCCUGACGGGCCACACAUCCCCAGUGGAGAGCGUCCGCCUCAACACCCCCGAGGAGCUCAUCGUGGCCGGCUCUCAGUCGGGCUCCAUCCGUGUCUGGGACCUGGAAGCUGCCAAAAUUCUUCGCACACUCAUGGGACACAAAGCCAACAUCUGCAGCCUGGAUUUCCACCCGUACGGCGAGUUUGUAGCCUCUGGUUCCCAGGACACAAACAUCAAGCUCUGGGACAUCAGGAGGAAAGGCUGUGUCUUCCGAUACAGGGGGCACAGCCAGGCCGUGCGGUGUCUCCGGUUCAGCCCCGAUGGGAAGUGGUUGGCGUCAGCCGCAGAUGACCACACCGUGAAGCUCUGGGAUCUCACUGCCGGCAAGAUGAUGUCUGAGUUCCCUGGUCACACGGGGCCUGUCAACGUGGUCGAGUUUCACCCCAACGAGUACCUCCUGGCCUCCGGCAGCUCUGACAGGUGAGGAGGAGGAGCGAGGCGAGUUGCUUGUGACUGCUGUCCUUCACCACCUUGUCCUCUGUGCGUGUCUCUACUGCCGGUCUGUCGCUGUCUGGGGUGUCAUACGUCUGAUGAUCCUGUGUGGACUGAAUUGGAUUUCAGCCGAGCCAGGACUGGACCCUGGUCCAUCUCCCCUGGCUCUGGUUCCCUGGCCCCAGUGUCCCAGGUCUGUGGCUUCAUGGGCAGGUUGGGACCCAAGGCAUCUAGUGAGACCCCAUAGGGCAGGGAGGCUCGUGGCUGUUGGGGCCAACCCUGGGGCCAGGGCCAUCGGGCCGAGCCUCCCCCUUGCAAAGUCAGGGCCAGCUCUGCCCCAGAUGUUGCUCCUGGUGGCCCUGCCCUGGGGGAGAGGUUUCUAGAGAGAAGCUGGCUUCCCAGGGACAUGUGGAGGCCAGGAUGAGGGAUAGGCUUCGCAGCACAGCCUGGCUGCCUUUGCAGGACAAUCCGCUUCUGGGACCUGGAGAAGUUCCAGGUGGUGAGCUGCAUCGAAGGGGAGCCUGGGCCCGUCAGGUACGCAGGCUGUGGGGUGGGCGGCCCAGCGCUCCUCCCGGCAGUGGGGCGUGGCUGUGGGUGGGCCUUUCCCAUCUCCGCUGCUGCGCCCUCCCUGCCCUGGGCCCUCUGGAUUCCUCGGGGUGGGGACCAGGCUGGGUGCCACAGGACCCACGGCCAUCUCUCGCCUGGCCCAGGAGCGUCCUCUUCAACCCAGACGGCUGCUGCCUGUACAGCGGCUGCCAGGACUCACUGCGUGUCUACGGCUGGGAACCUGAGCGGUGCUUUGACGUGGUCCUCGUUAACUGGGGCAAGGUGGCCGACCUGGCCAUCUGCAAUGACCAGUUGGUGAGAGAGCCAUGGCACCCACCGCCCCCCACUCCCACAGGGCCACCCGCCUCCCUCCAGCCCAGGCCCCUCCUCCUACCCCCACACUGGGGCUGGGAUUUUGCCCCCUCGGCUUGCCGUCCCAGCCCCACCUCUCCGCUUUCUGCAGAUAGGUGUGGCCUUCUCCCAGAGCAACGUCUCCUCCUACGUGGUGGAUCUGACGCGUGUCACCAGGACUGGCACGGUGGCCCGGGACCCUGUGCAGGACCACCGGCCCCUGGCACAGCCACUGCCCAACCCCAGCGCCCCCCUCCGGCGCAUCUAUGAGCGGCCCAGCACAACCUGCAGCAAGCCUCAGAGGGUGAAGCAGAACUCAGAGAGCGAGCGCCGCAGCCCCAGCAGCGAGGAUGACCGGGACGAGCGCGAGUCCCGCGCGGAGAUCCAGAACGCCGAGGACUACAACGAGAUCUUCCAGCCCAAGAACAGCAUCAGUCGGACGCCACCCCGGAGAAGUGAGCCCUUCCCUGCACCCCCAGAGGACGACGCAGCCACAGCAAAGGAGGCAGCAAAGCCCAGCCCUGCCAUGGAUGUGCAGUUCCCGGUGCCAAAUCUGGAGGUCCUGCCCCGGCCCCCAGUGGUUGCUUCCACACCUGCACCCAAGGCUGAGCCUGCCAUCAUCCCUGCCACCCGGAAUGAGCCCAUCGGGCUGAAGGCCUCUGACUUCCUGCCCGCCGUGAAGAUCCCCCAGCAGGCCGAGCUGGUGGACGAGGAUGCCAUGUCACAGAUCCGCAAAGGCCACGACACCAUGUGUGUGGUGCUCACCAGCCGCCACAAGAACCUGGACACCGUGCGGGCUGUGUGGACCACGGGCGACAUCAAGACGUCGGUGGACUCCGCUGUGGCCAUCAACGACCUGUCGGUGGUGGUGGACCUCCUGAACAUCGUCAACCAGAAAGCGUAAGUGGCUGCAGCGGGGGAGUGGGCGGAGGGGCAGGGCUGGGCUGAUGGCAGCAUGUCCUGGCCUCUCCUAGCUCCCUAUGGAAGCUGGACCUGUGCACCACGGUCCUGCCGCAGAUUGAGAAGCUUCUGCAGAGCAAGUAUGAGAGGUGCGUGUGGGGAAGCCAUGCCUGCCUGAAGCAGGGGGAGGGGAGAGGUAAGAAGCCUCCUCCAGAACCAUGGGAAGGACCCCCAAGAGCCUGGGUGUUCCUGUGAGCUGGCUGUGAAGCAUUGCUGCCCCUCAACAGUCCGGAGGUGGGAGUGGAAACAGGCGUGUGUGGGUGUAUGUGUGUGUGUGUCUAUGUCUGUUUCUGCCCCUCUCCUCCUUUGUUCCUUGCUGUUUCUCUUUCUGUCUGUGGCCCUUGGUCCAUCUGUGACUUCAUCCAUCUCCCCCUAAAGCUACGUCCAGACAGGCUGCACCUCCCUGAAGCUGAUCCUGCAGCGGUUUCUGCCCCUCAUCACAGACAUGCUGGCGGCCCCACCCUCUGUGGGUGUGGAUAUCAGCAGGGAGGAGAGGUGAGGGCAGCGCAUGUGUUGGGGGCAGGGGUGCCACAACAGGUGAGGGGACAAAGGCCUGGAGGCCUGGGCCCCUCUUACUGACAGUCCUGCUGGGACAGAGUACAGAGGAGGCGUUGGUCUGGGGCCAUGGCUCAGGGUGUGGGUGGGCUUAGCCAGAGCUGGGUUCCUCCAUGGCCUGGCUGUGCCCACAAUCCCUGGCAGGGCCUGGGUGGUUCCCCUCUGGGCCUCCGCCUUCCCUUGGGAGGAAGGGCUGGAGCAGUUAGGACAGCAAAGGCCCUGGGGUUGCGGGGGGGUGGUGGUGGUGCCAGCUGGCCCCUCAGGCACUGCCCUCUCUACAGGCUGCAUAAGUGCCGGCUCUGCUACAAGCAGCUUAAGAGCAUCAGCGGCCUGGUCAAGAGCAAGUCAGGCCU